GUUGUUGGGUAGGGGAGCGUUCUGUAAGCCUGUGAAGGUGUGCUGUGAGGCAUGCUGGAGGUAUCAGAAGUGCGAAUGCUGACAUAAGUAACGAUAAAGCGGGUGAAAAGCCCGCUCGCCGGAAGACCAAGGGUUCCUGUCCAACGUUAAUCGGGGCAGGGUGAGUCGACCCCUAAGGCGAGGCCGAAAGGCGUAGUCGAUGGGAAACAGGUUAAUAUUCCUGUACUUGGUGUUACUGCGAAGGGGGGACGGAGAAGGCUAUGUUGGCCGGGCGACGGUUGUCCCGGUUUAAGCGUGUAGGCUGGUUUUCCAGGCAAAUCCGGAAAAUCAAGGCUGAGGCGUGAUGACGAGGCACUACGGUGCUGAAGCAACAAAUGCCCUGCUUCCAGGAAAAGCCUCUAAGCAUCAGGUAACAUCAAAUCGUACCCCAAACCGACACAGGUGGUCAGGUAGAGAAUACCAAGGCGCUUGAGAGAACUCGGGUGAAGGAACUAGGCAAAAUGGUGCCGUAACUUCGGGAGAAGGCACGCUGAUAUGUAGGUGAAGUCCCUCGCGGAUGGAGCUGAAAUCAGUCGAAGAUACCAGCUGGCUGCAACUGUUUAUUAAAAACACAGCACUGUGCAAACACGAAAGUGGACGUAUACGGUGUGACGCCUGCCCGGUGCCGGAAGGUUAAUUGAUGGGGUCAGCGCAAGCGAAGCUCUUGAUCGAAGCCCCGGUAAACGGCGGCCGUAACUAUAACGGUCCUAAGGUAGCGAAAUUCCUUGUCGGGUAAGUUCCGACCUGCACGAAUGGCGUAAUGAUGGCCAGGCUGUCUCCACCCGAGACUCAGUGAAAUUGAACUCGCUGUGAAGAUGCAGUGUACCCGCGGCAAGACGGAAAGACCCCGUGAACCUUUACUAUAGCUUGACACUGAACAUUGAGCCUUGAUGUGUAGGAUAGGUGGGAGGCUUGGAAGUGUGGACGCCAGUCUGCAUGGAGCCGACCUUGAAAUACCACCCUUUAAUGUUUGAUGUUCUAACGUUGACCCGUAAUCCGGGUUGCGGACAGUGUCUGGUGGGUAGUUUGACUGGGGCGGUCUCCUCCUAAAGAGUAACGGAGGAGCACGAAGGUUGGCUAAUCCUGGUCGGACAUCAGGAGGUUAGUGCAAUGGCAUAAGCCAGCUUGACUGCGAGCGUGACGGCGCGAGCAGGUGCGAAAGCAGGUCAUAGUGAUCCGGUGGUUCUGAAUGGAAGGGCCAUCGCUCAACGGAUAAAAGGUACUCCGGGGAUAACAGGCUGAUACCGCCCAAGAGUUCAUAUCGACGGCGGUGUUUGGCACCUCGAUGUCGGCUCAUCACAUCCUGGGGCUGAAGUAGGUCCCAAGGGUAUGGCUGUUCGCCAUUUAAAGUGGUACGCGAGCUGGGUUUAGAACGUCGUGAGACAGUUCGGUCCCUAUCUGCCGUGGGCGCUGGAGAACUGAGGGGGGCUGCUCCUAGUACGAGAGGACCGGAGUGGACGCAUCACUGGUGUUCGGGUUGUCAUGCCAAUGGCACUGCCCGGUAGCUAAAUGCGGAAGAGAUAAGUGCUGAAAGCAUCUAAGCACGAAACUUGCCCCGAGAUGAGUUCUCCCUGACUCCUUGAGAGUCCUGAAGGAACGUUGAAGACGACGACGUUGAUAGGCCGGGUGUGUAAGCGCAGCGAUGCGUUGAGCUAACCGGUACUAAUGAACCGUGAGGCUUAACCUUACAACGCCGAAG
Molecule: ribosomal RNA, 1738 nt
Filed under: Escherichia coli
Lineage: Bacteria; Pseudomonadati; Pseudomonadota; Gammaproteobacteria; Enterobacterales; Enterobacteriaceae
Description: partial 23S ribosomal RNA
Rfam family: Bacterial large subunit ribosomal RNA
Source: RNAcentral